Molecule: non-coding RNA, 86 nt
Organism: Caerostris darwini
Lineage: Eukaryota; Metazoa; Arthropoda; Arachnida; Araneae; Araneidae
Source: the annotation of a GenBank genome assembly
UAUACCAUGCUGAAUGUACCGGUUCUCGUUAGAUCACCGAAGUCAAGCAUCAUUGGGCGUUCAGUACUUGGCUAGGUUACCGCGUG